RNAcentral lists this ribosomal RNA (495 nucleotides) under uncultured bacterium. RNAcentral describes it as "partial 16S ribosomal RNA". It matches the Rfam family "Bacterial small subunit ribosomal RNA", at positions 30 to 507 of the family's 1533-position model. The record is from RNAcentral.
UGAACGCUGGCGGCGUGCCUACUACAUGCAAGUCGAGCGAACGGACGAGAAGCUUGCUUCUCUGAUGUUAGCGGCGGACGGGUGAGUAACACGUGGAUAACCUACCUAUAAGACUGGGAUAACUUCGGGAAACCGGAGCUAAUACCGGAUAAUAUUUUGUACCGCAUGGUUCAAAAGUGAAAGACGGUCUUGCUGUCACUUAUAGAUGGAUCCGCGCUGCAUUAGCUAGUUGGUAAGGUAACGGCUUACCAAGACAACGAUGCAUAGCCGACCUGAGAGGGUGAUCGGCCACACUGGAACUGAGACACGGUCCAGACUCCUACGGGAGGCAGCAGUAGGGAAUCUUCCGCAAUGGGCGAAAGCCUGACGGAGCAACGCCGCGUGAGUGAUGAAGGUCUUCGGAUCGUAAAACUCUGUUAUUAGGGAAGAACAUAUGUGUAAGUAACUGUGCACAUCUUGACGGUACCUAAUCAGAAAGCCACGGCUAACUACGUG